UACAGAGGGGGCAAGCGUGGUUCGGAAUUACUGGGCGUAAAGGGCGCGUAGGCGGCCUGUUAAGUCGAACGUGAAAUCCCCGGGCUCAACCCGGGAACUGCGUCCGAUACUGGCAGGCUUGAAUUCGGGAGAGGGAUGUGGAAUUCCAGGUGUAGCGGUGAAAUGCGUAGAGAUGUGGAGGAACACCAAUGGCGAAGGCAGCCUCCUGGGCCAACACUGACACUCAUGCACGAAAGCGUGGGGAGCAAACAGG
Molecule: ribosomal RNA, 253 nt
Filed under: uncultured bacterium
Lineage: Bacteria
Description: partial 16S ribosomal RNA
Rfam family: Bacterial small subunit ribosomal RNA
Source: RNAcentral